UUUUCAUUUUCAGAAAAAAGAGCCCCCUCUCUCUCUCUCUCUCUCUCUUCCUCUUUUUUGAUAAACCCUAAUCGCCACCUCUUCUUCUCUCUCUCUGUCCAUGCUAAAAAUGGCAAAUCUGCAGAACAUAGCAAUUGCAUGCAGCUUUAUUGUGUCCAUUUUGAUGAAAGCAUUUAAUGUUGUACUCAAAUCCGUGAUUUUGAAUCAUGAAUAUGGUAAUGAAUCGAUUUUCUUGUUUUAUUUUACUGUAUUAUGCUAAGAUUUACACAUAUUGUUUUUGUAUUUUGCUUAAAUUUCAUUUGUUGUGUUUGAAAGGGUUGGAUCGAAGUAAGAAAGGUUCAGCUCUGACUGUAUAUGUGCUUGAGAGGCCAUAUGAGGCGUAGAUCUGGUCUUGAAGUCCAUUUUUUCUGAAAAUGCAUUUGUCCCACAUCGUUUACUUAGAGUUUUAAGCGAUUUUUUGGGGUUCUAUUUAUAGAUACCCACCCCCCUUUAAAACAGAGAAGUCUGAAAGUUGAAAAUUUUGAAAAGGGUAAAGAGAGGCUUUUUUCUAAAAGAAAAUUUGAGUCUCAAAGUCAAAAAUUUUAAGAGUCUUUUCAGCUUUCAAGGAGAAGUUAAAAGAAAGGCCAAAACUUUGAAUUUUCGAUCCUUUUUUAGUAAAAUUUUAAGACUUCCCUAAGUGUGAGGUCUUUAUGAGUUGAAAUUUUUUAUUUCUUUCUUUUUGUUCGAGUGUGUGUGGCUGGGUUGGAGUUUUGGAAGCACUUAAGGCUUUCAAAUUCGUUUUUGAUCAGGGCUACACCAUAAAAAGAGUCAAAGGCCCAAGAGGAAUAUUCUUUCAAACUAUUAAGUCUAAAAAUGGAAGCUAAUAUUAUGAAGGCCCAGCCAUGGGUGAAAAUGGCACGAAGGCCCAACCAUGGGUAAAUAUGACCUUUAAGGGGUUUGGUACACCCCUAACUCAUUUCCUUUUCCCCCUUUAAAUUUCAGCAUGUCAAUUUGUUUUUCUUAUUUGAAAUGUUGUAUUUGUAUAAACUCACAUUAUUAUUGGAAUCUUUACAUUUUGAAUUAGGCAUCUUAGGUGAACGGUGCAUAUCCCAUUUAGUUAGACCUUAGGCCCCAACACAAUUUUUAAACCCGGAUUAGCGUAAACAUUUUUUUUUUUAAAAAAAAGGAAACAAAAAUGGCUAGUCCCAUUUUUUACAAAAGAUAACGUGUUGCUAUCAUUUUUCCUUAAACCGGACGUGUCUUUACAAAACUUUGAAAAGAAAUGCCUUUUUCAACUAAGUUUCAGUCCUCUUUCAAAAACAAAUCCUAUUUUUUCCAGGCGAAAAGAAUUAGGUUUUUAAAACUGUGUGAAUAGUAUGCUUUUACAAAACAAGCUCUAUUUCUUCAAACUAAAAAUCAGACGAAGGCAUGGAUUUUUUUAGAAUUGCGUAAAUAACAUGCUUUAUAAAAAAUAAGCUCUGCCCCUUUUUAAACCAAAAUCAGACGAAUCAAAAAUGAUUUUAGACAUAUAUAUAUAUGUGUGUAAAUCGCUUGUACUAAGCUAUACAUAUUAUUUUUUGGAAACAAAUUAAGGCAAGUUAUAGAAUUUGAGGGCCAAGGCCCGACCCAAAAAGUCGUGUUUCAGGCCUCAUCUAACCAAUUUUUUCGGAUAAAGUAAAACACAAAAUAUGUUUUUGGCUUAGCCUAAGGAAAAAAUGGCCUUUGGGCCAAAAAAAUAAACAAACUCUAAUCAUUUUCAAAAGAAGGCGAGAUUUUGGGUCUAAGCCCAAGACAAAAAAUUGUUCUUGCAUUAUAUGAGCAAAUCAAAGGAUUGAAGGCAAAAUUCUAGGAAUCAAGAUAAUUAAUUUGAUUAUAUACACCAACUCUUGCAAAAUCUGUGCAAACUAUUUUUUUUAAGAAAAAUGAGCAAAGUCCUAAGUAAAGGUGUUCUAAAAACGUACUAAACGGACUAAUCCGGACCAUGUAUGAGUCUAAGCAUGAACGAAUUUCAUUUACUCCGAACUUUAAAACAACUUUUACCUUUACAAAACAAUAUUAUCCUUAUAUGUAAAAGGAACUAAU
This is a long non-coding RNA of Lycium barbarum (goji berry), 2061 nucleotides long. RefSeq lists it as uncharacterized. Lineage: Eukaryota; Viridiplantae; Streptophyta; Magnoliopsida; Solanales; Solanaceae. The transcript is spliced from 2 exons. The record is from RefSeq and is a predicted model, not a curated record.